GAUUAACGCUGGCGGCGUGCCUGACACGUGCAAGUCGAACGAGGCCGCAAGGCCGAGUGGCGGACGGGUGAGUAACACGUGACCAACCAACCUCGAGGUUGGGAAUAGCUCUGCGAAAGUAGGGGUAAUACCGAAUGUGGCCCAAGGCGGGCAUCCGCCUUGGUCUAAAGAUUCAUCGCUUCGAGACGGGGUCGCGGCCUAUUAGCUUGUUGGUGGGGUAACGGCUCACCAAGGCGAUGAUGGGGUAGCUGGUCUGAGAGGACGACCAGCCACACUGGGACUGAGACACGGCCCAGACUCCUACGGGAGGCAGCAGUGAGGAAUCUUCCGCAAUGGGCGAAAGCCUGACGGAGCAACGCCGCGUGUGGGAUGAAGGCUCUAGGGUUGUAAACCACUGUC
This 399-nucleotide ribosomal RNA is filed under the name uncultured bacterium. RNAcentral's name for it is "bacterial SSU rRNA". It matches the Rfam family "Bacterial small subunit ribosomal RNA", at positions 28 to 437 of the family's 1533-position model. The record is from RNAcentral.